CCCUUAGAUGUUCUGGGCCGCACGCGUGCUACACUGAGUGGAUCAGCGGGUCAGGUUGCGCGAAAGUGUUUCCUAAUCUUUAAAUCCGCUCGUGAUGGGGAUUGACGGUUGCAAUUUUCCGUCAUGAACGAGGAAUACCUUGUAAGCGCGGGUCAUCAUCCCGCGCUGAAUACGUCCCUGCCCUUUGUACACACCGCCCGUCGCUCCUACCGAUUGAGUGGUCCGGUGAGGCUUUGGGAUCUGAGCGGAAAGAGCGUUUCGCUGUUUCUGCCCGGAAAACUCAGUCGAACCUUAUCAUUUAGAGGAAGGAGAAGCCGUAACA
Molecule: ribosomal RNA, 322 nt
Filed under: uncultured eukaryote
Lineage: Eukaryota
Description: partial 18S ribosomal RNA
Rfam family: Eukaryotic small subunit ribosomal RNA
Source: RNAcentral